This 592-nucleotide non-coding RNA is filed under the name unclassified sequences. RNAcentral describes it as "ROOL RNA". It matches the Rfam family "ROOL RNA". Rfam says of the family: Firmicutes, Fusobacteria (1 example), Tenericutes (1 example). The record is from Rfam by way of RNAcentral.
UGCUUUUAGUCAUAAGAAUUACAACUCUGUGUAAACGGUGUCGCGCAGAUACCGCAGAGAUAUGUCGAACGCUAGGGUGGAAACAGCAAGGAUACUUGCCACACCACUCUUCCCUCUAUCGAAAGGUAGAUGGACUAGACUAACAAGUCGAAAGCAAGAUGUAGUGCGCGAGUUGUAGUGUACAAAGGUAUUCCUCGUAUUCGUGGGUGCAAUAGAGGUGAUUAACAGUCGCUGAAUCCAAGUAGGUCAAAGGGUGGGAGAUGAACGCCCCAUCAAGCCUUGGAACGGUUCAUAAGCCCAUUAGCCGUGAACCAACGAAAGUUGGGUAUAAGAAUAGAGGAAGUUCGAGUAGCCUAAGGCUUUCUUUAAGGAAAAGCUAUUCAAAAAUCUGAUGAAAAUGUUUUAUCUUUUGGUGAAUUGCAGGUGAAAGUUGAGAGUUUACAAUCUCUUUAGAGCGGUGUGUUCUUCGGAACAAGGAUAGAAAAGUAACUGGGGUAGCUCCCCUAUGCUCACAGCUAUCUUCUCUAUGACUGAACAUGUAUGUGGCAAUAAUCGGCGUAAGGCGAAGGUCUGUAGUUUUUAUGACUAAGAG